RNAcentral lists this long non-coding RNA (556 nucleotides) under Equus caballus (horse). RNAcentral's name for it is "lncRNA (ENSECAG00000057622.1)". The record is from RNAcentral. Lineage: Eukaryota; Metazoa; Chordata; Mammalia; Perissodactyla; Equidae.
GGCUGUUUUUCCCCGGGAAUCCGCACAGUGCGCCCCAUCCUCCCACCCCCGCAGUGCGCCGGGCCGGGGAGCUGCUCCCUUCACCGCCCCGCAGGGCAGCCGGACCGAGCCCGCGGGUCUCCAGGGUGCAGUGUGGCCGCUCGCGGCGUACCGCCUCCCGAUCGGGCCGGCAGGACAGUCUGUCCGCCGGACCAGCAAGCCCCCUCCUUUGCUGAGUCUGAGCGGGUCGCUCCUCCGAGGCGGUGAAGCUGACUUAGUUUACACCCCAGGGCGCCUCUCUAGCAUUACCUGCCAGUGCCAGGAGUUGUAGAGUGCUCUGAGCAGAGAGGGGCCGCCGAGCCUCCUUCUGGAAGCAUUGCUAGGUUUGGCUUUGAAACACGAGGGACAUGUUGGUAUCGAGCUCUGGUUUUGGUCUGAAGACAAUGAGAAGAGGAGAGGGAAAGAGUCCUCUGGACUAUCCGGUACUGCUGAUUCCAGCUAGAGAAAUGUUUGAGAGUUAGAGACAACAUAACUAGUCACAGCCUGCUCAGUCUGGAAUAGUAAUAAAGACACCUGC